AUUGAACGCUGGCGGCAGGCCUAACACAUGCAAGUCGAGCGGAUGAGAGGAGCUUGCUCCUCGAUUCAGCGGCGGACGGGUGAGUAAUGCCUAGGAAUCUGCCUAGUAGUGGGGGACAACGUUUCGAAAGGAACGCUAAUACCGCAUACGUCCUACGGGAGAAAGUGGGGGAUCUUCGGACCUCACGCUAUUAGAUGAGCCUAGGUCGGAUUAGCUAGUUGGUAGGGUAAAGGCCUACCAAGGCGACGAUCCGUAACUGGUCUGAGAGGAUGAUCAGUCACACUGGAACUGAGACACGGUCCAGACUCCUACGGGAGGCAGCAGUGGGGAAUAUUGGACAAUGGGCGAAAGCCUGAUCCAGCCAUGCCGCGUGUGUGAAGAAGGCCUUCGGGUCGUAAAGCACUUUAAGUUGGGAGGAAGGGCUCAUAGCGAAUACCUGUGAGUUUUGACGUUACCAACAGAAUAAGCACCGGCUAACUUCGUGCCAGCCGCCGCCGUAA
RNAcentral lists this ribosomal RNA (500 nucleotides) under uncultured bacterium. Its description in RNAcentral is "partial 16S ribosomal RNA". It matches the Rfam family "Bacterial small subunit ribosomal RNA", at positions 30 to 523 of the family's 1533-position model. The record is from RNAcentral.